ACCCCUGAACUUAAGCA
This 17-nucleotide ribosomal RNA is filed under the name Eubrownia aggregata. RNAcentral's name for it is "partial 26S ribosomal RNA". The record is from RNAcentral. Lineage: Eukaryota; Viridiplantae; Chlorophyta; Chlorophyceae; Chlamydomonadales.